UAUUAAAAUUUUUCUCCAUUUGUACUAUUAAAAAUUGGCGUGGUUGACGGAAUAAUAAAAAAUGACAUGUGACAUGCAACGUGUAACUCAUAUUAAAGUAUACAAAUCAAUUUUUAACAAUAAAAAUGGAUGAAAUUUUCAACA
Molecule: non-coding RNA, 144 nt
Organism: Gossypium raimondii (Peruvian cotton)
Lineage: Eukaryota; Viridiplantae; Streptophyta; Magnoliopsida; Malvales; Malvaceae
Source: Rfam